RNAcentral lists this long non-coding RNA (563 nucleotides) under Coturnix japonica (Japanese quail). RNAcentral's name for it is "lncRNA (ENSCJPG00005001886.1)". The record is from RNAcentral. Lineage: Eukaryota; Metazoa; Chordata; Aves; Galliformes; Phasianidae.
GUUUGAACCACCCCCUUAAAAUUACCCAAUCUCCAUGAAACUGACCCAAAAUCAAAGUCACUCGGCGGACACACAUCAGGGGUUUCUCGGCGUCGAUUCGAGGUUGAAGAGGUUUUGGGUUUGUUUUGGGGCGAUUUGUUGAGGUUUUGGUCAAUGGAUGUUUUCGGUGCCUACGGUCGCAUGGGGAGAAGGCGCGCGCCGCCCCACCCCCACCCCACUUUAUUUGGGGCCUUUUGGGGUGUUUUUAGGAGUUAUCAUUACCCCGGCGCAAAACGGGUUCAGAAAGCGCGAUUUUGGGUCAUCCCCAGCGCAGAACAGACGUAAGAAAUGGGCUCAGAGCACGAAACGGGCUCAGAAAGAGAGAGAUUUUGGGUCAGCCACACAUGUAAAAUGGGCUGAGAAAGUGGGAUUUUGGGUCAGUCACACGGCGCCAGCGCGAAGCGGGUUCAGAAAUGGGCGUUUUGGGGGUGAAGCUCGCGGCGAAACAGGCGCAGAAAGCAACAUUUUGGGUGCGUUGUGAGAGCGUCGCUGCUGCCCCAACACAGAAUGGGCUCAGAAAGCAG